UGGCGAACGGGUGAGUAACACGUGGGUGAUCUGCCCUGCACUUCGGGAUAAGCCUUGGAAACUGUGUCUAAUACCGGAUAGGAGCCAUUUUUAGUGUGAUGGUUGGAAAGUUUUUUCGGUGUAGGAUGAGCUCGCGGCCUAUCAGCUUGUUGGUGGGGUAAUUGCCUACCAAGGCUGCGACGGGUAGCCGGCCUGAGAGGGUGGACGGCCACAUUGGGACUGAGAUACGGCCCAG
RNAcentral lists this ribosomal RNA (235 nucleotides) under uncultured Actinomycetales bacterium. Its description in RNAcentral is "partial 16S ribosomal RNA". It matches the Rfam family "Bacterial small subunit ribosomal RNA", at positions 96 to 334 of the family's 1533-position model. Lineage: Bacteria; Bacillati; Actinomycetota; Actinomycetes; Actinomycetales. The record is from RNAcentral.